UGGGCCCAUGAUGAGUACCACGGGGUAUCUGAAACCAGGAUAUUGUGAUUAAACCCGUGUACGACUCUGAGGUCCUU
RNAcentral lists this small nucleolar RNA (77 nucleotides) under Microtus ochrogaster (prairie vole). Its description in RNAcentral is "Small nucleolar RNA SNORD113/SNORD114 family (ENSMOCG00000002383.1)". It matches the Rfam family "Small nucleolar RNA SNORD113/SNORD114 family". Rfam says of the family: The imprinted human domain at 14q32 contains two clusters of tandemly repeated small nucleolar RNAs named 14q(I) and 14q(II) snoRNAs. These two clusters are named SNORD113 and SNORD114 respectively in the HGNC approved gene symbol nomenclature. The snoRNAs found in both clusters are clearly related and are represented here by a single family. Lineage: Eukaryota; Metazoa; Chordata; Mammalia; Rodentia; Cricetidae. The record is from Rfam by way of RNAcentral.